AGCGAACGCUGGCGGCAGGCCUAAUACAUGCAAGUCGAGCGCACCUUCGGGUGAGCGGCGGACGGGUGAGUAACGCGUGGGAACGUGCCCUUUGGUACGGAACAACUGAGGGAAACUUCAGCUAAUACCGUAUGUGCCCUUACGGGGGAAAGGAUUUAUCGCCAUUGGAGCGGCCCGCGUUGAUUAGGUAGUUGGUGAGGUAAAGGCUCACCAAGCCUACGAUCCAUAGCUGGUCUGAGAGGAUGAUCAGCCACACUGGGACUGAGACACGGCCCAGACUCCUACGGGAGGCAGCAGUAGGGAAUCUUGCGCAAUGGGCGAAAGCCUGACGCAGCCAUGCCGCGUGAAU
Molecule: ribosomal RNA, 349 nt
Filed under: uncultured bacterium
Lineage: Bacteria
Description: bacterial SSU rRNA
Rfam family: Bacterial small subunit ribosomal RNA
Source: RNAcentral